This 304-nucleotide long non-coding RNA is filed under the name Hordeum vulgare. RNAcentral describes it as "long non-coding RNA (HVUL_LNC000549)". Lineage: Eukaryota; Viridiplantae; Streptophyta; Magnoliopsida; Poales; Poaceae. The record is from RNAcentral.
UUGGACUUCGGGAUCAAAAGUUGUGGCCAAAACAAUAUUGAAACUUUCUGUUUUUGCAAUUUUAGACAGAAAAACUGGAGAUAACUAGCUAACUAGUAGGGGUACACGUGGCAUGUUGCUUUACGCUGCGGGUGUUGUUUGUUGCAAUGUUUGGAGCAAACGGCCGAGGCUAAGCAAAACUGCUGGUUAAAACAUAAGUGAACUAAAAAACCGCUGGUUUCCUAAACUAAACCGAAAGGUUAUUCCUAGAUCUAAUCUAAACCAUCCACUACAGAUCUAAGGGCUAAAACUUCAAAAACAAAAC